This 316-nucleotide ribosomal RNA is filed under the name uncultured Spirochaeta sp. Its description in RNAcentral is "bacterial SSU rRNA". It matches the Rfam family "Bacterial small subunit ribosomal RNA", at positions 1064 to 1382 of the family's 1533-position model. The record is from RNAcentral. Lineage: Bacteria; Pseudomonadati; Spirochaetota; Spirochaetia; Spirochaetales; Spirochaetaceae.
GCUGUGAAGUGUGGUUAGGUACCGCAACGAGCGCAGCCCCUGCUGUCUGUUGCCACCACGAGAGGUGGGGACUCAGGCGGAACUGCCGGUGACAAACCGGAGGAAGGUGGGGACGACGUCAAGUCAUCAUGGCCCUUAUGUCCUGGGCUACACACGUGCUACAAUGGCCGGUACAGAGCGCAGCGAGGCCGCGAGGCGGAGCGAAUCGCUUAAAGCCGGUCCCAGUACGGAUUGGAGUCUGCAACCCGACUCCAUGAAGUUGGAAUCGCUAGUAAUCGCGCAUCAGCAUGGCGCGGUGAAUACGUUCCCGGGCCUU